AUUGCAUCUCAAAAAAAAUAAAAUAAAAUAAAUCAAGUUUGAGACAAAAAUUGUUACCAAAGACAAACAAGGACACUUUAUAAUGAUAAAGGGUCAAUCCAUCCAGAAGAAAUCACUAUUAUAAAUAUAUUUCAACCUAGCAAUAAAGCCCCAAAAUACAUGAAGCAAACUGAGGUCUUUGAGAAUAGAGAAGGCAGCUUUGUCCUAAAUAUUUGACUGCCAUAACCUAUUAUAGUGGUUAAUAUCCAAUAACUAGGGACUCAUUCCUUGGAGUUAAAGGUUUGCCUCCCCUACAGUUCUUCGUUAAAGUAUAAAUAUGUCCCUGGAAGCCACCAAUUGUGUUGCAAUUCCAUUUAGCUGAAGUUGGUUUAAGCUCCGUUGGAGCAGUGACUGCUAGUGACAGAGACAAACGGUUGAGCCAUUUUUGAUAGAUUAUAUAGGUAUGGCCUGGCCUGGGCCCAGGAGGAAAGCAGGGAGAAGAAGCAUCUCAGAGUGGGUAGAAGUAUUAAGAAUAGAGAAAGAGUAUAGGAUGAGGAGCAGGGAGAAAGCUAAGGUAUCACAGGGGCACAAAAAAAGUAUCGCAGGGGAACAAAAAAAGUCCCACAGAGAGUGUGGGAAACAAAUGCUAGACAAGGAGCAAAGCAACUGGGGCACUGCGUUGUGAUGAGGUUCUUGGUUUGGCAACAGGCACUGGAAGGCAUAGGCACUGAUAGAAAAACCAGGAAACUAGGAAACUCAUAGGAACAAAGAACAGCAAGAGGCAAGCCAGAUAUGAGCUCAGAACUCAGGCAAACGGGCUGGGCAAACAGAUGCUCAAAUGAGGUUGUGUUUGUGAAAGUGCCCAGUUCUGGGCAGAUGCUUAGUAACUGUUAGCUGGUUCUAAAUAUAAAACUGAAGCAAGGCAAGUGGCCAGGACAGCAACUCAAUGUUGACAACAAAAAUAGCCCCUACGUAUUAACACCUCUUAUAUUCUGGGCACGUUGCUAGGUACUUUACAUACAUUACCUCAUCUAAUACUAAAAUGACCCUGUGAGGUACACAUCGAAAAUUCCAGUCUAUAGAUGAAUGUGGAUCCUGGUUAAGUGACUUGCUCAAGGCCAUUACAACGAUGUGAAUGACACAGAGCCAGAAGUUUCCUCUGGCAGCCUCUGGGCCACAGUGACAGCCCAGGGUGGCUCUGAUCAACAUGGUGGCUUAAAAGGAAUGGGAGGAGGGGAGCUGAGAGCUGGGGACAAGGAACUUCUCAGAGUUCCUCUGGAGUCCCAAUCCUCCACUUUUUUUAAAGACAGAACCUCACUCUGUCCCUCAGGCUGGAGUGCAGUGGCACCAUCAUAGCUCACUUUAACCUCAAACUCCUGGGCUCAGGUGAUCCUCCUGGCUCAGCCUCCUGAGUAGCUAAAGCUACAGGCUCACGCCACCAUGCUCUGCUAAUUUUCUAUUUAUUUAUUUAUUUAUUUAUUUAUUUAUUUAUUUAUUUAUUUAUUUAUUGUAGUGGUCGGGUCUUGCUGUGUUACUCAGGCUGGUGUCAAACUUCUGGUCUCAAAUGAUCCUCUGACUCAGCUGGGAUUACAGGUGUGAGCCACCACACUCGGCCCCCUCCUCUUUUUAAAAGGGGGGUUGGGGAAGAGAGCAUCAGAGGCCUGAAGACCCUCCCUGCUCCUUUCUCUCUCCUUUGAAGAAUCGUGGUGAUUUAUCCCACAUGCCAGAAGGCCAGGCACUAGGUCACUAGGGCCACCCUUCCCUGCCUUAAACCUUGCAUGGCCUGUUUCUAAAUGGAAGAAUGCAGUGGAAAGCAGGGGCAAGGAAUUAGGAAUAAAGACACUUGUGGGGUUAGGGAACCCCAGGAAUGGUCUGUUUGCCCCAUAAAUCCCAAUAGCUAUAUCUGCUUUCUGUCAAAAGCAGAAGAGUGAGCUUACUUCCUCCAUGGCCACCAUGAUCUUCUAUCCUUCCUUUCCCUUCCCGCACAUGACACACACAACACACACGUGCAUGCGCGCACACACACACACACACACACACACACAUUGGAGGGCCACCUCUGGGUGACCCAUGCAUCCCCUCUCCCUGCCUCAUCCUAUUAGUGGGACCACCACCACUGCUCUUCCCUAGGGGAAGGGAGUUUCCUGUGAAUUCUCUUUAACCUUGGACUGGGGUCCAGGGCCAGCCUAUGAUGGAA
This 2176-nucleotide long non-coding RNA is filed under the name Homo sapiens (human). RNAcentral's name for it is "HSALNT0184398". The record is from RNAcentral. Lineage: Eukaryota; Metazoa; Chordata; Mammalia; Primates; Hominidae.